AUGGCGCGUUCCUCUCGUCUCGUCGCCUCCACCGCCACGGCUCUCUUCUUCCUCUUCCUGUCGGCGGCGUGCUCGUGCCGCGCGGCCGGCGACAGCCCGAGCGCCGUGGUGCUGCCGGUGAGGAAGGACAGCGCGACAGGGCAAUACCUGACCGGCUUCCGGCAGCGCACGCCCCAGGUGCCGGUGACGGCCGUGCUCGACCUCGGUGGCGGCACGCUCUGGGUGGACUGCGACGCCGGGUACGUGUCCUCGUCCUACGCGCGCGUGCCGUGCGCGUCCAAGCUCUGCCGCCUCGCCAAGACGGGGGCCUGCGCCACCAGCUGCGUCGGCAAGCCGUCCCCGGGGUGCCUGAACGACACCUGCGGCGGGUUCCCGGAGAACACCGUCACGCGCGUCAGCACCGGCGGCAACCUCAUCACCGACGUGCUGUCGGUGCCCACCACCUUCCGCCCGGCGCCGGGGCCGCUCGCCACCGCGCCGGCGUUUCUGUUCACUUGCGGAGCCACGUUCCUGACCGAGGGCCUCGCCGCCGGCGCCACCGGCAUGGCGUCGCUCAGCCGCGCCCGCUUCGCGCUCCCUACGCAGCUCGCCGCCGCCUUCCGCUUCUCCCGCAAGUUCGCGCUCUGCCUCACGUCGACCUCGGCGGCCGGGGUCGUCGUCUUCGGCGACGCGCCCUACGCGUUCCAGCCCGGGGUGGACCUCUCGAAGUCGCUCCUGUACACCCCGCUGCUCGUCAACAACGUGAGUACCGCCGGCGUCUCCGGCGAGAAGGACAAGUCGAGCGAGUACUUCAUCGGCGUGACGGCCAUCAAGGUGAACGGGCGCGCCGUGCCGCUGAACGCCUCGCUGCUGACCAUCGACAGGCAGGGCGGCGGCGGCACCAAGCUCAGCACGGUGGCGCCCUACACCGUGCUGGAGACCUCCAUCCACAAGGCGGUCACGGACGCGUUCGCGGCGGAGACGGCCAUGAUCCCCCGCGUGCGGGCCGUGGCGCCGUUCAAGCUCUGCUACGACGGGAGCAAGGUGGGGAGCACGCGCGUGGGCCCGGCCGUGCCGACGGUGGAGCUGGUGCUGCAGAGCGAGGCCGCGUCGUGGGUGGUGUUCGGGGCCAACUCGAUGGUGGCCGCCAAGGGCGGCGCGCUCUGCCUCGGCGUGGUGGACGGCGGCGCGGCCCCGCGGACGUCGGUGGUGGUCGGGGGCCACAUGAUGGAGGACAACCUGCUGGAGUUCGAUCUGCAGCGGUCGCGGCUCGGGUUCAGCUCCUCCCUGCUCUUCCGGCAGACCACCUGCAACAACUUCCGCCUUGGGUAG
RNAcentral lists this ribosomal RNA (1311 nucleotides) under Triticum aestivum (bread wheat). RNAcentral's name for it is "partial small subunit ribosomal RNA". Lineage: Eukaryota; Viridiplantae; Streptophyta; Magnoliopsida; Poales; Poaceae. The record is from RNAcentral.